AACUUUGUGCAGUGGCAGCAUCGUAGCCAAUGAGGGUUAUCCAAGGGUGAUCAUUGCUAAUUGAAAACUAAAAACAAUGAAUACAUGCAGUUGUGAAAAAUAUGCGUACCUUUAAUGAAG
Molecule: small nuclear RNA, 120 nt
Filed under: Mustela putorius furo (domestic ferret)
Lineage: Eukaryota; Metazoa; Chordata; Mammalia; Carnivora; Mustelidae
Description: U4 spliceosomal RNA
Rfam family: U4 spliceosomal RNA
About the family: U4 small nuclear RNA (U4 snRNA) is a component of the major U2-dependent spliceosome. The structure of U4 snRNA from yeast and human has been reported. U4 snRNA presents a k-turn RNA motif in the 5p-SL related to recognition of Snu13 protein.
Source: Rfam by way of RNAcentral